AUAACUUAAGAGUCCAUGUUUCCAUUAUAUUAUAAUAAAUAAAGUUCCCAUAUAAACAAGACCCACCAAAAUGAAAGACAAGCUUUCAGUUAAGCCUUCAUAUUCAGCAUCUAAGCUGAUAGUAAUCUCUAAUAUAUUACAAAAUUACAUAGAGGCAAGCCAAAAUAAAGAGUAUUGCAAAUCAAGUAAUGUACCUGAACCUAGAAAUAUAAAUUAAGAAUAUAAGUGAUCUCAGCAUUUGGAUAAUCAUGGGAUGUCAAAGUGUAACCAGAUUCUAGCAUGCCACAAUAGGAAUAAUAUUAACAUCUUUCUUUACAGAUGGUCAUUUACAUUCCUAUCUAUCAAGUUUUUCAUUCAACAACUAUAAUACAAGGAAUUCAAGGAUAAGAUGACACUAUCUAGCCAACUUUUGCAAACCAGGGACUUUUAAAUUGAAACUGUAUUUUCGAGAUCCAAAACCUCCAAUUUUGUAGCCAGUCUCACAUGUACAUAGGUGCUAUCAAUCAAGAAUAUUUA
This 516-nucleotide unclassified non-coding RNA is filed under the name Hevea brasiliensis (rubber tree). The record is from RNAcentral. Lineage: Eukaryota; Viridiplantae; Streptophyta; Magnoliopsida; Malpighiales; Euphorbiaceae.